GACGAACGCUGGCGGCGUGCUUAACACAUGCAAGUCGAACGGAAAGGCCCUGCUUUUGUGGGGUGCUCGAGUGGCGAACGGGUGAGUAACACGUGAGUAACCUGCCCUUGACUUUGGGAUAACUUCAGGAAACUGGGGCUAAUACCGGAUAGGAGCUCCUGCUGCAUGGUGGGGGUUGGAAAGUUUCGGCGGUUGGGGAUGGACUCGCGGCUUAUCAGCUUGUUGGUGGGGUAGUGGCUUACCAAGGCUUUGACGGGUAGCCGGCCUGAGAGGGUGACCGGCCGCAUGGGGAAGGAGAUACGCCCAGGACCCCGCGGGGGGGAAGAGGGGGGAAAUUGGGAAAAAGGGGGGGAGGCCGGAGGACGCACGCCCGGGGGGGGGAGGCGGGCUUUGGGGUGGUAACCCGUUUGCGCCGGGGAGGAAGGGGGGGUGAGGGUAGGGGAAAAAGAAGCCCGGGCAAACUAGGGC
Molecule: ribosomal RNA, 468 nt
Filed under: uncultured bacterium
Lineage: Bacteria
Description: partial 16S ribosomal RNA
Rfam family: Bacterial small subunit ribosomal RNA (bases 20-332)
Source: RNAcentral